Molecule: ribosomal RNA, 429 nt
Filed under: Actinomycetes bacterium
Lineage: Bacteria; Bacillati; Actinomycetota; Actinomycetes
Description: Actinobacteria bacterium partial 16S ribosomal RNA
Rfam family: Bacterial small subunit ribosomal RNA
Source: RNAcentral
UAGGGAAUCUUCCGCAAUGGGCGAAAGCCUGACGGAGCAACGCCGCGUGAGUGAUGAAGGUCUUCGGAUCGUAAAACUCUGUUAUUAGGGAAGAACAAAUGUGUAAGUAACUAUGCACGUCUUGACGGUACCUAAUCAGAAAGCCACGGCUAACUACGUGCCAGCAGCCGCGGUAAUACGUAGGUGGCAAGCGUUAUCCGGAAUUAUUGGGCGUAAAGCGCGCGUAGGCGGUUUUUUAAGUCUGAUGUGAAAGCCCACGGCUCAACCGUGGAGGGUCAUUGGAAACUGGAAAACGUGAGUGCAGAAGAUGAAAGUGGAAUUCCAUGUGUAGCGGUGAAAUGCGCAGAGAUAUGGAGGAACACCAGUGGCGAAGGCGACUUUCUGGUCUGUAACUGACGCUGAUGUGCGAAAGCGUGGGGAUCAAACAGG